RNAcentral lists this long non-coding RNA (2053 nucleotides) under Mus musculus (house mouse). Its description in RNAcentral is "RIKEN cDNA 2410017I17 gene". The record is from RNAcentral. Lineage: Eukaryota; Metazoa; Chordata; Mammalia; Rodentia; Muridae.
GGGUCCCAGGGGGUCCGGCAAGCUCUGGGAGUUCCUUGGACUGAUCCAUCCCCAAGGAAUGGAGGAAUGCACUCUGCAGCUCCUGGAGCAGCUCCAGGUGGAGGUGCAGAAUUUUGUCCUCUGAGUGGCUGCAGAGUUCUCCUCCAGGAAGGAGAAGCUUGGGUUUCUGGUCAACAACUAUGACAUGAUGCUCGGGGUGCUGAUGGAGCGGGCUGCUGAUGACAGCAAAGGGGAGGAGAGUUUCCAGCAGCUGCUCAAUGCUUGGACACAGGACUGAGCCCCAACUCAAGGGCAGAGGGAGGAGCUGCCUGUGGCCCCUGAACCGGUGUGCAGCAGCAUUUCCUUCCUGCGCUCCAGCUAUCUUUGGAGCCACUCCACGCAGGUGCUCUCCAGGUCAUCGUUCAGGGCUAUGUAAUCGCGACCAUUGUAGGCUGUACUGCCAGUACCCGUGGAGGAGGCUCCCGUCGGACCCUACGUCACAGUCAUACAACCACUGGAACAUCUCCCAGUACACAGGGCCCUGGAGCUUCAUCCAUGGCGCACGCGGCUCAUAUCUCAGAUUCUCCACGUCGCUGUCGAAGCGCACGAACUGCGUGUAGUCCACGUCGCCGGCUUCCAUGUACAGGGGCUUCCCGUGGCCCGGCCGGGACAUGGCAGUGGAGAAAUACCGCAUCGAGUGUGAGCCUGAGGGCGGCGCGCAGUGAAACCCUGACCUCCUCCCCGGACCCCGGGCUUGUGAGCGGGUCUGGAAGGGAGCAGGGCGCCGGUCUUGCGACGUGGCUGGAGAAGGGGCGGAGGGUCGGGUGGGCGGCGCGGGGACCGGGCUUCCCCUGUGCAGUCCCCGACCCGCCCAUGCCCCCAGAAGCCUUUUCCCUCCCGACCCCGCACCCACCCGUGCGCGUCUGGGUCCAGGCCAGGGCGGUCGCCUGCAGCAGAAGCAGCUUUCGCUGCACUUGCCCCCUUCUGGCAAUCAGGAAGGGUCUGAGUUCUGAGAUCUGCCAGGACUUCACAACCAGAGCCCUUGGCCAAGGUGGCUGGUUUCCCAAGAUCUUGCUAUCUAAUGGGGGUGAGAUCUGAGAGCAGGUCAUUCAUUAGUGUCCUGGAGAAGGACCUGACCCAGGUUAGGAGCAGAAGUGAAAUUGGGGAGAUGGGGAAUCCAGGGCCCUGGGAUUGCCCACCCCUGACCUAGGCUGGACUAAGAAUUUGCUUCCAACACUUAUAAUUGAAAUAAAAUACUAAGAAGUUUGCCUUAUAAUAGCUUAGUGCAAAUAGAACUGCAGAAUAGGAUAAUUCCUCAUCUUCAGGCACUGCAGCUUUAGCUCAGAGUUCUCUGACUUCCCCAGGAAGAUUGUUGGAGAACUGCACUUCCCAGUUAUCUGCUGCACUGUAGCAAAGCAGCCAAGCUCAGCAUGUGGAGACAGCACAGCACUGAUACUUCCCACAGUCUGUGACAUCAAGAGUCCUUGGUGACCCUGGUUCAGGAACUCUCCCAGGUCCUGUUUUCUUCUUGCUGUGUUUUCUCAAGGCUUCUCUAGAGCUGGGGUCACAUGAGAUAAGGUUUCCUCAUAUGGCAGCUGGAAAGGACUCAGGUUCUGGCUGGCUGGCCCAGAGAGACAUCUGUCUCUUAUUUACCUAGAAGUCUCUUUAGACUGCUCUUGAAAGAGCAGCUUACUUACCUAGAGCCAGCCAUGAGAGAGAGAGAGAAAGAGAGAGAGGGAGAGAAAGAAAGAGAGAGAGAGAGAGAGAGAAUGAUAGAAUAUUACAGAAUGUGUGCAAUAGGUUCAUGAUCCAAUACAAGAACAUGACCAUACUAUCAGUCUCUCUCUGUCAGGAAAAGGGAGAGAGCAGGUCCUGACCACCUGAGAGGAUGGAAUCAAGGGCAGAGCUGCAAAUCUGUGAAUACUCACUCUAACUACAAUGUUACUCCAGCAUCCUGUGAGUCAGAUGGACAUUUAGUGAUCUUUUUGCAAGGUUUAAAAAAAAACAGUUUAAAAUUUGAUACAACAAAAGAAGACACAAGUUUCUCAGUUUUCAUUGAAAGGUCUUUACAACG